Molecule: transfer RNA, 91 nt
Filed under: Dreissena polymorpha
Lineage: Eukaryota; Metazoa; Mollusca; Bivalvia; Myida; Dreissenidae
Rfam family: tRNA
About the family: Transfer RNA (tRNA) molecules are approximately 80 nucleotides in length. Their secondary structure includes four short double-helical elements and three loops (D, anti-codon, and T loops). Further hydrogen bonds mediate the characteristic L-shaped molecular structure. tRNAs have two regions of fundamental functional importance: the anti-codon, which is responsible for specific mRNA codon recognition, and the 3' end, to which the tRNAs corresponding amino acid is attached (by aminoacyl-tRNA synthetases). tRNAs cope with the degeneracy of the genetic code in two manners: having more than one tRNA (with a specific anti-codon) for a particular amino acid; and 'wobble' base-pairing, i.e. permitting non-standard base-pairing at the 3rd anti-codon position.
Source: Rfam by way of RNAcentral
CCCGCGAUAGCUCAGUUGGCAGAGCGGAGGACUGUAGUGGUUCUGACAAACUUUUAUCCUAAAGUCACUGGUUCGAAUCCGGUUCGCGGGA